Molecule: long non-coding RNA, 325 nt
Organism: Tachyglossus aculeatus (Australian echidna)
Lineage: Eukaryota; Metazoa; Chordata; Mammalia; Monotremata; Tachyglossidae
Exons: 3
Source: RefSeq, a predicted model, not a curated record
GAGUUUUCACUCUUAUCCUUCCACUCUGCCUGCUCUGCCAUCUCCACCUGAGACAAAGUCAUCGAACCACUCUGUGCUGCUUAAGCAGAUCCUGCCUCCCAAGAGCUGCACUUGUUUAGUGUGGAAAUAGUGGAGAAAGAAAGAGGGCCAGCCAGCACCACUCAAGAAAGGCUCCAUAGGAUGUUCAACUCUAGAGGAACAGAGGAUGAAGGACAAUCAGAUGACUGUUGGGUUUGGAGGGAAAAAAUCCAGCUACUAGUUAAGAGGAAACGGUGCUGGAUCCAAGGCUCAGUCUCGAGCCUUCUGGUCCAGGAUUUUGGGGGUG